GUAGGGAAUCUUCGGCAAUGGGGGCAACCCUGACCGAGCAACGCCGCGUGAGUGAAGAAGGUUUUCGGAUCGUAAAGCUCUGUUGUAAGUCAAGAACGAGUGUGAGAGUGGAAAGUUCACACUGUGACGGUAGCUUACCAGAAAGGGACGGCUAACUACGUGCCAGCAGCCGCGGUAAUACGUAGGUCCCGAGCGUUGUCCGGAUUUAUUGGGCGUAAAGCGAGCGCAGGCGGUUUGAUAAGUCUGAAGUUAAAGGCUGUGGCUCAACCAUAGUUCGCUUUGGAAACUGUCAAACUUGAGUGCAGAAGGGGAGAGUGGAAUUCCAUGUGUAGCGGUGAAAUGCGUAGAUAUAUGGAGGAACACCGGUGGCGAAAGCGGCUCUCUGGUCUGUAACUGACGCUGAGGCUCGAAAGCGUGGGGAGCGAACAGGA
This 431-nucleotide ribosomal RNA is filed under the name uncultured bacterium. RNAcentral describes it as "bacterial SSU rRNA". It matches the Rfam family "Bacterial small subunit ribosomal RNA", at positions 354 to 777 of the family's 1533-position model. The record is from RNAcentral.